GCAUAUGGUGGUUCCCAGGCUAGGGGUCAUAUCAGAGCUACAGCUGCCGGCCACAGCCACAGCAAAACGGGAUCUGAGCUGCAUCUGUGACCUACACCACAGCUCACGGCACUGCCAGAUCCCCAACCCACUGAACAAGUCCAGGGAUUGAACCUGUGUCCCCAUGGAUCCUGGUCAGAUUCACCAACCACUGAGCCACCAUGGAACUCCCACUGCCCCUUUUAUUUUCAGGGGAGGAAACUGAGACCCAGAGAGAGCAAAUGAAAUGUUCAGGUUCACAAAGGAAAUGGUGACUCACCUCAAUUUUAUGUCUGUUUUGGCCUUUUUAGGGCUGCACCCGUGGCACGUGGAGGUUCCCAGGCUAGGGGUCGAAUCAGAGCUGUCGUUGAUGGCCUACACCACAGCCACAGCAACACCAGAUCCAAGCUGCAUCUGUGACCUAUACCACAGCUCACGACAGUGCUGGAUCCUUAAUCCACUGAGCAAGGCCAGGGAUUGAACCUGCAUCCUCAUAAAUGCUAGUCAGUUUCGUUUCCACUGAGCCACGAGAGGAACUCCCAUCAGACACUUUUGAACCAUCUUAAUUAUUUUUUCUAUAGCUUAUACUACCUCUACUAUUAUUUAUUUCAUACUUUUUUCUUUAAAUAAAUUUAAUUUAUAUAAUAUCUUCAUUCUAUGCAAUAUUUUCCAUGAGAUUAUGAGUUCAAUAAUGCUUAGAUUUAUUUCCAAGAUGCAUUAAAAUAAACAUAUGACUGUUAAAAUAAAAGCUUAUUUAUGUUUUAUCUAUAAUCAGUUUUGGAAAACAUUGAUACAGUGAAAGAGCAUGGACUUUAUAUCCAGACAGACCUGGGGUCAACUGCUUGUUUGCUCUAUCAUUUAACUACGUAGUCUUGGAGAAGUCACUGGGCUUUUAUGACCUUUGGUUCUCCACUAAUACCCACUCUGUGACUCAGUGCCUCAGUGGUAACGAAUCCAACUAGUAUCCAUGAGAAUGUGGGUUUGAUCCCUGGCCUUGCUCAGUGGUUAAGGAUCCGAUAUUGCCAUGAGCUGCAGUAUAGGUCACGGAUGCACCUCAGAUCUACCAUUGCUGUGGCUGUGAUGUAGCCCAGCAGCUGCAGUUCUGAUUUGCUCCCUAGCCUGGGAACUUCAAUAUGCUGCAGAUGCAGCCCAAAAAAAGCAGUGGAUAUUAGUAUCCACCUUGCAAUGUUGUUAUGACUGAAGGAGCUACUGUGGGCCCAGUCUCAAGCAGGCGUUCAGUUCAUGAUUGUUAUUAUCCUGGUUAUUUUUGCACACUUGUAGUUAUUUCCCUAAGUGUGUUUCUGUGUUGGAAUAUCAGGCUUAUUGCUCUCUGCUCACUUGUAUGUGUAAAGAAGUUACUUCCACUUAUUUAGUUUUGUGGUAAAUCUAUUAUUAUUUUGACUUCUCAGUUCUGUUACUUAUUAUCGUUGUGAUUUUGGCCAAGUUACUUAAUGUUUCUGUGUCUCAUUUAUAUAGUUUGUAAAACAGGGAUUUAAAAAAAAGUACUUUGGUGUGUGUACGCAUCAUCAGUUUCCUAGCUCUGUCCACCAGCGGGCCCAGACGCACUAGCCCUAGUAGCAACAGGCAAUACCUAGUGCCCAAGGUUUGUGAAUAUCAUUCUCCCAUGAAAGGAGCAGCUGACUCCAGGACUGGGGAACUGAAGUGCAAAUGAGUUCGGUGUGUUCUUUCGCAGUGCCAUUAGUUAAGGAUCAGGUGUUGGUGCUGUAGCGGCUUGGGUUGCUGUAGCAUGGGUUGCAUUCCUGGCCCUGGAACUUCCACAUGCUGUAGGCAUGGCCAAAAAAAUAUGGUUUGCAAAUAUUGAAAAAAAAAAAAAGACGAGCCUGGAAUAUCCUGUGUGAGAAGGUCAGGAACUGCUAAAGAAAGGACAUGUCAAAAACACACCAAAACACCUUGAGCUCAGUGGCUUGUGAGCAACAGUGGGACAAUAAGGGUAACAUUGUAAAUAAGGACAGUAAUGGAUUAUAAUACACAACCAUCCCUGAGUCUUACAAAAAUAAAUAAUCGAAUACCUAAAUAAAUAUGAGAGAAGGAACAGCUCUUUUUCUUAUAGUAGAAUCUUAAUAAAUAUGAAAGGAAUGAUGAAAGCAAAAAAAAAAAAUCAUAGUUUUGCUAAGACUAUAGUAAUACCUGUUAUAGGCAAGAAUUAUCAAUCGAUUUUACAAAUUAAUAGAGACAGAUCAAGAUGGUAGAGGAGGAUUUCCUGUCUUGGCGCAGCAGAAACAAAUCUGACUAGGAACCAUGAGGUUGCAGGUUUGAUACUUGGUCUUGCUCAGUGGGUUAAGGAUCUGGUGUUGCCAUGAGCUGUGGUGUAGGUUGCAGAUGCGGCUCGGAUCUGGCGUUGCUUUGGCUGUGGGGUAAGCCCGCAGCUGUAGCUCCAAUUAGACUCCUAGCCUGGGAAUCUCUAUAUGCCAUGGGUGCAGCCCUAAAAAAAAAAAAAAAAAAAAAAAAAAAGAGAGAGAGAGAGAGAGAGAUGGUGGAGGAGUAGGAUGUGGCCCACCUUCUCCCAGAAAUACAUUUAAAAAAAAUCUAGGAGUUCCCAUUUCAGCUCAGAAGGUUAAGAACCUGACUAGUAUCCAUGAGGAUGCGGGUUCAAUCCCUGGCCUUGCUCAGGGGGUUAAGGAUCUGGCUUUGCCACAAGCUGGAGUGUAGAUUGCAGAUGUGGCUCAGAUCUGGCAUUGUUGUGGCUGUGGCAUGUGCUAGCAGCUGUAGCUCCAAUUGGACUCCUAGCCUGGGAACUCCCAUGUACUACAGGUGUGGCC
RNAcentral lists this long non-coding RNA (2798 nucleotides) under Sus scrofa (pig). RNAcentral's name for it is "lncRNA (ENSSSCG00005019516.1)". Lineage: Eukaryota; Metazoa; Chordata; Mammalia; Artiodactyla; Suidae. The record is from RNAcentral.